GACGAACGCUGGCGGCGUGCUUAACACAUGCAAGUCGAACGGCGACGCGCCUUCCUUUUUGGCGGGUGUGGAGGAGUGGCGAACGGGUGAGUAACACGUGAGUAACCUGCCCUCUUCUUCUGGAUAACCGCAUGAAAGUGAGGCUAAUACGGGAUAUUCUGUAUCUGUCGCAUCAUGGGUCCGUGGAAGCUAUUGCUUCGGUGGGGGCUGGUCUCGCGUCCUAUCAGGUUGUUGGUGGGGGCCUGGCCUACCAAGGCGGUGACGGGUAGCCGGGCUGAGGGGGUGGACGGUCACACGGGGAGUGAGACACGGCCCAGACUCCUACGGGAGGCAGCAGUGGGGAAUGUUGCACAAUGGGGGCAAGCCUGAUGCAGCGACGCCGCGUGAGGGAUGGAGGCCUUCGGGUUGUGAACCUCUUUCGCCAGUGAAGCAGGCCUGCCUCGUUUGUGGGUGGGUUGACGGUAGCUGGAUAAGAAGCGCCGGCUAACUACGUG
RNAcentral lists this ribosomal RNA (494 nucleotides) under uncultured bacterium. Its description in RNAcentral is "partial 16S ribosomal RNA". It matches the Rfam family "Bacterial small subunit ribosomal RNA", at positions 28 to 507 of the family's 1533-position model. The record is from RNAcentral.